UCUGAGCGCAUGUUUUAAAACCACGGCGGGGAAACUGACACCUUUCAGGCGUGCCGUGCGAAUGUAUUGCGCCGUCAUCACUUCGGUCAUGGAGGCGCGUGUCAUGCGGGCAAUAUAACCCAUGCCAUAAAGCGCCAUGGUCGCCACAGGCAGGGUAAAAUUGGCAAAUGUCAG
RNAcentral lists this non-coding RNA (174 nucleotides) under marine eukaryotic metagenome. RNAcentral describes it as "Ruegeria cis52 sRNA". It matches the Rfam family "Ruegeria cis52 sRNA". From Rfam's summary of the family: Cis-encoded. Targets oligo/dipeptide ABC transporter. The record is from RNAcentral.